AGAGUUUGAUCCUGGCUCAGAUUGAACGCUGGCGGCAGGCCUAACACAUGCAAGUCGAGCGGUAGAGAGAAGCUUGCUUCUCUUGAGAGCGGCGGACGGGUGAGUAAUGCCUAGGAAUCUGCCUGGUAGUGGGGGAUAACGUUCGGAAACGGACGCUAAUACCGCAUACGCCCUACGGGAGAAAGCAGGGGACCUUCGGGCCUUGCGCUAUCAGAUGAGCCUAGGUCGGAUUAGCUAGUUGGUGAGGUAAUGGCUCACCAAGGCGACGAUCCGUAACUGGUCUGAGAGGAUGAUCAGUCACACUGGAACUGAGACACGGUCCAGACUCCUACGGGAGGCAGCAGUGGGGAAUAUUGGACAAUGGGCGAAAGCCUGAUCCAGCCAUGCCGCGUGUGUGAAGAAGGUCUUCGGAUUGUAAAGCACUUUAAGUUGGGAGGAAGGGCAGUAAAUUAAUACUUUGCUGUUUUGACGUUACCGACAGAAUAAGCACCGGCUAACUCUGUGCCAGCAGCCGCGGUAAUACAGAGGGUGCAAGCGUUAAUCGAAAUUACUGGGCGUAAAGCGCGCGUAGGUGGUUUGUUAAGUUGGAUGUGAAAUCCCCGGGCUCAACCUGGGAACUGCAUUCAAAACUGACUGACUAGAGUAUGGUAGAGGGUGGUGGAAUUUCCUGUGUAGCGGUGAAAUGCGUAGAUAUAGGAAGGAACACCAGUGGCGAAGGCGACCACCUGGACUAAUACUGACACUGAGGUGCGAAAGCAUGGGGAGCAAACAGGAUUAGAUACCCUGGUAGUCCACGCCGUAAACGAUGUCAACUAGCCGUUGGAAGCCUUGAGCUUUUAGUGGCGCAGCUAACGCAUUAAGUUGACCGCCUGGGGAGUACGGCCGCAAGGUUAAAACUCAAAUGAAUUGACGGGGGCCCGCACAAGCGGUGGAGCAUGUGGUUUAAUUCGAAGCAACGCGAAGAACCUUACCAGGCCUUGACAUCCAAUGAACUUUCUAGAGAUAGAUUGGUGCCUUCGGGAACAUUGAGACAGGUGCUGCAUGGCUGUCGUCAGCUCGUGUCGUGAGAUAUUGGGUUAAGUCCCGUAACGAGCGCAACCCUUGUCCUUAGUUACCAGCACGUAAUGGUGGGCACUCUAAGGAGACUGCCGGUGACAAACCGGAGGAAGGUGGGGAUGACGUCAAGUCAUCAUGGCCCUUACGGCCUGGGCUACACACGUGCUACAAUGGUCGGUACAGAGGGUUGCCAAGCCGCGAGGUGGAGCUAAUCCCAUAAAACCGAUCGUAGUCCGGAUCGCGGUCUGCAACUCGACUGCGUGAAGUCGGAAUCGCUAGUAAUCGCGAAUCAGAAUGUCGCGGUGAAUACGUUCCCGGGCCUUGACUCAACGCCCGUC
Molecule: ribosomal RNA, 1394 nt
Filed under: uncultured bacterium
Lineage: Bacteria
Description: bacterial SSU rRNA
Rfam family: Bacterial small subunit ribosomal RNA
Source: RNAcentral